Molecule: long non-coding RNA, 613 nt
Filed under: Androctonus crassicauda
Lineage: Eukaryota; Metazoa; Arthropoda; Arachnida; Scorpiones; Buthidae
Source: RNAcentral
UACAGUUAGGAUAUUUUCAACAUAUCUAAUAAAGCUCACAAGCCGGGGUCAAAAUCUCUGUAAUAAUAGUUCAUUCUCCAAAUAUCUAAGUAUUAUCUCAGCCAGAGGUACGGCUAAUGGACUCCCUAUAGGGACACCUUUUAUUUGUUGGUAAUAAACUCCUCAGAAAUUAAAAUAAGAAUUAUGACAAAGCAUGUGAGCAAUGUCCCUUAAAAGUUUGCCUCUGCCUUCAACAAACGGGAGGUUCUCAAUCAUAAAUCUAUACAGGGCCAGGCAUACCGGCUCUAACUUUAAAGAAGGGUAAAGGCUAUCAUAGUCAAACACAGCCAUAACAUAGUGGGGUUGCCAUGUUAUCAUUCUAAUCCUCUUCAAGGCUUCCUCUGUAAUGGUGGUGGAAUUCUCAUUCUGGCCUAAUAUUGUCAAACACCAACUGGCUAUAGCUUUCUCUAAAUUAAAAGUAGGAGCCCUUCUUUUUUCGACUAUGGGUCGAGGCUUAACUGGCUGUUUGUGUCUUCAUAUAUGCGAAGAGCCGAGGACACAUUGGUGCUUGUAUUUUCGCAUGCUUCCAUUCUUGGGGAAAGAGCCUGUUAGAAGUUAAUUUGUCUAGGGAGGC